This 585-nucleotide ribosomal RNA is filed under the name uncultured bacterium. RNAcentral describes it as "partial 16S ribosomal RNA". It matches the Rfam family "Bacterial small subunit ribosomal RNA", at positions 355 to 1375 of the family's 1533-position model. The record is from RNAcentral.
UGGGGAAUUUUGGACAAUGGGCGCAAGCCUGAUCCAGCCAUGCCGCGUGCGGGAAGAAGGCCUUCGGGUUGUAAACCGCUUUUGUCAGGGAAGAAAUCUUCUGAGUUAAUACCUCGGGAGGAUGACGGUACCUGAAGAAUAAGCACCGGCUAACUACGUGCCAGCAGCCGCGGUAAUACGUAGGGUGCAAGCGUUAAUCGGAAUUACUGGGCGUAAAGCGUGCGCAGGCGGUUUUGUAAGACAGAGGUGAAAUCCCCGGGCUCAACCUGGGAACUGCCUUUGUGACUGCAAGGCUUGAGUGCGGCAGAGGGGGAUGGAAUUCCGCGUGUAGCAGUGAAAUGCGUAGAUAUGCGGAGGAAUACCGAUGGCGAAGGCAGCCCCCUGGGCCAAUACUGACGCUCAUGCACGAAAGCGUGGGGAGCAAACAGGAUUAGAUACCCUGGUAGUCCACGCCCUAAACGAUGUCAACUAGUUGUUGGGGAUUCAUUUCCUUAGUAACGUAGCUAACGCGUGAAGUUGACCGCCUGGGGAGUACGGUCGCAAGAUUAAAACUCAAAUGAAUUGACGGGGUCAUAGCUGUUUCCU